Molecule: transfer RNA, 83 nt
Filed under: Oceaniovalibus guishaninsula JLT2003
Lineage: Bacteria; Pseudomonadati; Pseudomonadota; Alphaproteobacteria; Rhodobacterales; Roseobacteraceae
Rfam family: tRNA
About the family: Transfer RNA (tRNA) molecules are approximately 80 nucleotides in length. Their secondary structure includes four short double-helical elements and three loops (D, anti-codon, and T loops).
Source: Rfam by way of RNAcentral
GCGGUCGUGGCGGAAUGGUAGACGCGCAGCGUUGAGGUCGCUGUGGGGUAAUACCCGUGGAAGUUCGAGUCUUCUCGACCGCA